This 574-nucleotide ribosomal RNA is filed under the name Aspergillus welwitschiae. RNAcentral's name for it is "eukaryotic LSU rRNA". The stretch from base 191 to 344 matches the Rfam family "5.8S ribosomal RNA". The record is from RNAcentral. Lineage: Eukaryota; Fungi; Ascomycota; Eurotiomycetes; Eurotiales; Aspergillaceae.
AUUACCGAGUGCGGGUCCUUUGGGCCCAACCUCCCAUCCGUGUCUAUUGUACCCUGUUGCUUCGGCGGGCCCGCCGCUUGUCGGCCGCCGGGGGGGCGCCUCUGCCCCCCGGGCCCGUGCCCGCCGGAGACCCCAACACGAACACUGUCUGAAAGCGUGCAGUCUGAGUUGAUUGAAUGCAAUCAGUUAAAACUUUCAACAAUGGAUCUCUUGGUUCCGGCAUCGAUGAAGAACGCAGCGAAAUGCGAUAACUAAUGUGAAUUGCAGAAUUCAGUGAAUCAUCGAGUCUUUGAACGCACAUUGCGCCCCCUGGUAUUCCGGGGGGCAUGCCUGUCCGAGCGUCAUUGCUGCCCUCAAGCCCGGCUUGUGUGUUGGGUCGCCGUCCCCCUCUCCGGGGGGACGGGCCCGAAAGGCAGCGGCGGCACCGCGUCCGAUCCUCGAGCGUAUGGGGCUUUGUCACAUGCUCUGUAGGAUUGGCCGGCGCCUGCCGACGUUUUCCAACCAUUCUUUCCAGGUUGACCUCGGAUCAGGUAGGGAUACCCGCUGAACUUAAGCAUAUCAAUAAGCGGAGGAA